RNAcentral lists this ribosomal RNA (253 nucleotides) under uncultured bacterium. RNAcentral's name for it is "partial 16S ribosomal RNA". It matches the Rfam family "Bacterial small subunit ribosomal RNA", at positions 524 to 776 of the family's 1533-position model. The record is from RNAcentral.
UACGAAGGGGGCAAGCGUUGCUCGGAAUUACUGGGCGUAAAGCGCACGUAGGCGGAUAGUUAAGUCAGGGGUGAAAUCCCGGGGCUCAACCUCGGAAUUGCCUUUGAUACUGAGUAUCUAGAGUUCGAAAGGGGUAAGUGGAAGUCCAAGUGUAGAGGUGAAAUUCGUAGAUAUUUGGAAGAACACCAGUGGCGAAGGCGACUUACUGGUUCGAUACUGACGCUGAGGUGCGAAAGCGUGGGGAGCAAACAGU